Helianthus annuus (common sunflower) is the source of this 381-nucleotide long non-coding RNA. RefSeq lists it as uncharacterized. The record is from RefSeq and is a predicted model, not a curated record. The transcript is spliced from 3 exons. Lineage: Eukaryota; Viridiplantae; Streptophyta; Magnoliopsida; Asterales; Asteraceae.
GAAACCUUCAUCUCUUACCCUCUCAUUUACGGCUCAAACAACCCGCAAGAACACCACCAUAAUUCAUCCAUAAACAUUCCAUUUUCACCUAAAUUAAGCCUAUACAAGACCAUCUAAGCAUCACUUAUACAUGAAGCAUCACUAGGGCUUUGGUUGGAGCUUAAUUUUCUUCUUAAUCAUCUUUUAAGCUUGUGCAAAGUUGUUGACUCGCGUUUACGGAACACGCUGAUUGAAUAUCUCUCUCUCAGGAACGCAAAGCUGAAACAAGAUGGAUCUUGGGCACGGGUGUUGUUUUCAAGAUGUAAAUUUCAAGUUUAGAUGUCAUCCACUUUUGUUGGUUUGUAACUUAACCGGAGGUCAUGUUGAUUGAAACUUAAAUGA